This 515-nucleotide ribosomal RNA is filed under the name uncultured bacterium. RNAcentral's name for it is "partial 16S ribosomal RNA". It matches the Rfam family "Bacterial small subunit ribosomal RNA", at positions 28 to 523 of the family's 1533-position model. The record is from RNAcentral.
GAUGAACGCUGGCGGCGUGCCUAAUACAUGCAAGUCGAGCGAAUGGAUUAAGAGCUUGCUCUUAUGAAGUUAGCGGCGGACGGGUGAGUAACACGUGGGUAACCUGCCCAUAAGACUGGGAUAACUCCGGGAAACCGGGGCUAAUACCGGAUAACAUUUUGAACCGCAUGGUUCGAAAUUGAAAGGCGGCUUCGGCUGUCACUUAUGGAUGGACCCGCGUCGCAUUAGCUAGUUGGUGAGGUAACGGCUCACCAAGGCAACGAUGAGUAGCCGAGCUGAGAGGGUGAUCGGCCACACUGGGACUGAGACACGGCCCAGACUCCUACGGGAGGCAGCAGUAGGGAAUCUUCCGCAAUGGACGAAAGUCUGACGGAGCAACGCCGCGUGAGUGAUGAAGGCUUUCGGGUCGUAAAACUCUGUUGUUAGGGAAGAACAAGUGCUAGUUGAAUAAGCUGACACCUUGACGGUACCUAACCAGAAAGCCACGGCUAACUACGUGCCAGCCGCCGCCGUAA